This is a non-coding RNA of Chaetomium fimeti, 87 nucleotides long. NCBI's taxonomy places the organism in Eukaryota, Fungi, Ascomycota, Sordariomycetes, Sordariales, Chaetomiaceae. The record is from the annotation of a RefSeq genome assembly.
GGUUGUGUAGUGUAGUGGUUAUCACUUUGGAUUUUGACUGCGUGUCUCCCCCUUCCAAUAACCCCGGUUCGAACCCGGGCACGACCU